RNAcentral lists this ribosomal RNA (405 nucleotides) under uncultured Beijerinckiaceae bacterium. RNAcentral's name for it is "bacterial SSU rRNA". It matches the Rfam family "Bacterial small subunit ribosomal RNA", at positions 354 to 776 of the family's 1533-position model. The record is from RNAcentral. Lineage: Bacteria; Pseudomonadati; Pseudomonadota; Alphaproteobacteria; Hyphomicrobiales; Beijerinckiaceae.
GUGGGGAAUAUUGGACAAUGGGCGAAAGCCUGAUCCAGCCAUGCCGCGUGAGUGAUGAAGGCCUUAGGGUUGUAAAGCUCUUUUGUCCGGGAAGAUAAUGACUGUACCGGAAGAAUAAGCCCCGGCUAACUUCGUGCCAGCAGCCGCGGUAAUACGAAGGGGGCUAGCGUUGCUCGGAAUCACUGGGCGUAAAGGGCGCGUAGGCGGCCAAGCAAGUCAGAGGUGAAAGCCUGAGGCUUAACCUCAGAACUGCCUUUGAUACUGCUUGGCUAGAGACCGGAAGAGGUAAGUGGAACUGCGAGUGUAGAGGUGAAAUUCGUAGAUAUUCGCAAGAACACCAGUGGCGAAGGCGGCUUACUGGUCCGGUUCUGACGCUGAGGCGCGAAAGCGUGGGGAGCAAACAGG